RNAcentral lists this long non-coding RNA (586 nucleotides) under Ananas comosus (pineapple). RNAcentral's name for it is "long non-coding RNA (ACOM_LNC042342)". Lineage: Eukaryota; Viridiplantae; Streptophyta; Magnoliopsida; Poales; Bromeliaceae. The record is from RNAcentral.
AAAGCAAUAGGUAUGGAAAGAAAUUUUAAUGCAUAGUUUCUUAAAAUUAAACUCAUUUGAAAUAUUAAACAAAUAAACAAAGAGAAAAGAAAAAUUAAAAGAUCAUAUUGUCAAAUAAUUUGAAAUUUUUCUUAUAUGAAAUGCCAAAUUAUGAAAGGAAAGAUAGAGAGAGAAAAAGGAAACAAAGAGAAAAUAAAAAUUUUGAAAAUAUAGUAGAGAUAAAAUGACUAAAUUGCCCAUGUAUUAAAAGACAAAAAUAUCCUUUUUUGAGGUAGCUGGUAACCGAUACCUCUCCCAAAGUGACCUACUAUUGCAGGUAACAAUUUUAAAAAAAUUAAAUUUGAGCCGUUGAAUACGCGUGAAUGAACAGUAACGGAAAAAAAAAAAAAAAAGUAUAGAAGCAUUACUCAAACUCAUAUUAAAAGAAUUUCACUUUAGUCCCUGGGCAUAUUUACUAUAUCAGAGGUAAAACUAUUGCCUACACCCAGUGUGGUACAUCUCACAAUCCUUUAUCUCAUCACAUAUAAUUUCAAGCUUAUGGCCCACUGANAAAAAAAAAAAAAAAGUAUAGAAGCAUUACUCAAAC